This 413-nucleotide long non-coding RNA is filed under the name Olea europaea (common olive). RNAcentral describes it as "long non-coding RNA (OEUR_LNC002323)". The record is from RNAcentral. Lineage: Eukaryota; Viridiplantae; Streptophyta; Magnoliopsida; Lamiales; Oleaceae.
GACUGUUAUUUUUUAUUUUCUUAUCACGUUCCAAUGAUGCUUUGUUAAGUGUUAUUUGUAAUGAUUUUCUGUAAAAAAAUUCUCUAACUAUAGCACGACUCAAAACGUUGUUACACAUUUGUGGCUUCUACGUUUUUAUUUUUCGUUAUUUUUUAAUUUAAAUUGGGUAAUAUACUAGUUUUGAAACUUUUCCGUAGCAGGACAAAAAACGUCAUACCGAUUUGGCCGAACGAGAUCGAAUAUCACUUCCCUUUAAAAUAUAAUUUAUUUUUCUUCACAGUCACAUACUGACGGAUGAAAAUUCUCUCUAACUGACUCAAACUUUUGAAAUUUUUUUCCCCUGUGCUUUUUCAGAAUUCCGAUGAAGCAGAUCCUAGGUGUUGGAUUCGAUCGCUGGAUAUUAUAAGUGCANN